CAGGUGGCCAGGCCACCACUCUCCACCAUGGCCUUGGAGAUGCUUUUGAAGUUACGGAAGAGCUCCUGCUGCUGAGGGUUGGACUGCAGGCUGGCCAUGGUUUCUCGGAUCCGUGUUGCAGCCUGGGGAGAAGGAAGGAGAGGGUCAGGCCUGUAUCUUGAAUGCCUACUUGUAGUGGGUAGCUUCAAGGCUCACCUCAAUGCACCAGCUAUCACAGAGCAUUUUCUCAUGCUGUGCUGUCGGGUAGCCCUCACUCAGGGAUCGUGAGGCUCUGUAAGGAAACAGGAGGUUGGAAUAAUCCUGAGUGCUGGUGCUGGUGCUGGUGCUGGCCCAGCUACUCUGUGCCUCAAAUCCGCCAAGCUUCCCACUCUGUCUUCUUACCUGGAGAGAACUACCACCAUGGCAUAGAGGUCAAUGGCUCCGUCUGCCAGUCGCUGCAGCAGGAACUGUUCAUCUGUCAGCUUCGCCUCCACUACGGUGGCAAAUUGAUCCAGAGCCUGCACUGCCUGAAGAGAGAGUCAGAGCUCAGGAGAGGAAGGCAGCGCACCGCCGCCGGCUCUGCUUUAUGGCUCACUCACUCACCAGUUCACCGCUGCGACUUAACUCUGGGUGGACAAUUCCUGAGAGACUCAAACCACUGCCAAUUCCUGUCCGCCUAGGAGGAGAUGGAAGAGUGAUUGGUCAGCUGUGGCCUACCAUCUCGCCUGGCCCCGGCCCGGCCCUGAGCUUACCGCCUCAGCUGUUUGCCUGCUUCUCCCAUCAGGAGGCCAACGUUUCCAAGAGGGUUCUUUAGGGCAUUACCAAGCCCACCUUGUAGAGCCACAAACAGUCGAAGAAUGUCAUUUGCCCCUUCAAAGAUCCGGAAGAUUCGAAUAUCUCUGAGCACGCGCUCUACCCCUGGUUCCUGGCCCACAGGAAGACACGUAAACCUCUGUUGAGAUGUGCCUGCCCACUCUGAACAGCCCCCGCUGAGGAGUACUCUACCUUCAUGAAGCCCAUGCCCCCCAUUAUCUGGAUGCACUCAUCUGCCACUUUCCAGGCCGCCUCCUGAGGACAGAGAACCAGAUGAGUUUGGUUUUGGAGCUGAGGUCCAAACUGGACUCCGCCCUUCCAUCAUGCCUGGGUCCUCACCGAGCCAAAGAUUUUGCUGAUGGCGGCUUCUAUCUGAAAGUCUUUGAAUCCCUGGUCCAUGUUGGCACUCAGCAUGUAAGCCAUGGACUGUGAGGGGGAAUGGUUGGGACAUGGGAAAGAAAACAGGAAAGGGCUGCAUCAGACAGAAUGGCUGAUACUCAAACCUUCAAGACCAGCUCUGACCUACUCCCCCAACCCUUGAAUUCACUUUAACACCCUGGUCAGACCAAACACGUCCAACGUUUGACCCUCUGAUUCGGUAAAUCAGGGGCUUCGAGGCUUCAGACUUUUUAAAGGGGUGGGUUAAAAUUAGUGUUUGGUACACAUCUGGGAAGCACUUAGCAGAGCAGCACCACUCUCCAGAAGAGAACUGACUAUGCCUCCUCGCAUCCCCUAGGGCAUUGGUGUAAAGCUGGAGACCCACUGCCCCAGGUGCUGCUGGGGGUUGUAGUCUGACCCAACUGUGAAGAAAGUCAUAGGGCUUCAGGGAAGGGGCAUAGGAGGCCCUUACCUCAGUCACAUACUGCAGAAUUGCCAUUCGAGCCAGCUUUUCCUGGAUCACCCCAAAGUUGUGAAUUUUGUCCCCAAACUGGGUACGAUUGGUAGCAUGAUCAACCUGAAAGAAGGCGCGUGUAACCCCA
Molecule: long non-coding RNA, 1772 nt
Organism: Mastomys coucha (southern multimammate mouse)
Lineage: Eukaryota; Metazoa; Chordata; Mammalia; Rodentia; Muridae
Exons: 3
Source: RefSeq, a predicted model, not a curated record